AGAGUUUGAUCCUGGCUCAGAAUGAACGCUGGCGGCGUGCUUAACACAUGCAAGUCGUACGCGAAAGGCGCUUUCGGGUGCUGAGUAGAGUGGCGCACGGGUGAGUAACGCGUGGGUAAUCUACCCUUGGAUCUUGGAUAACACAUCGAAAGGUGUGCUAAUACGGGAUGAAGUCUGCGAGGAUGCGUUUUUGCAGAUGAAAGGCCGCGCAAGCGGUUGUCCGAGGAUGAGCCUGCGUCCCAUUAGCUAGUUGGCGGGGUAAAGGCCCACCAAGGCUGAGAUGGGUAGCUGGUCUGAGAGGAUGACCCGCCACACUGGAACUGGAACACGGACCAGACUCCUACGGGAGGCAGCAGUGAGGAAUAUUGCGCAAUGGGGGCAACCCUGACGCAGCGACGCCGCGUGAGUGAUGAAGGCCUUCGGGUCGUAAAGCUCUGUCGGAAGGGAAGAAUGGCCGCUGGGUUAAUAUCCCAGUGGAAUGACGGUACCUUCAGAGGAAGCACCGGCUAACUCCGUGCCAGCAGCCGCGGUAAUACGGAGGGUGCGAGCGUUAAUCGGAAUUACUGGGCGUAAAGGGCGCGUAGGCGGCCGAUCAAGUCAGAUGUGAAAGCCCACGGCUCAACCGUGGAAGUGCAUCUGAAACUGUUUGGCUUGAGUAUCGGAGGGGAAUGUGGAAUUCCUGGUGUAGAGGUGAAAUUCGUAGAGAUCAGGAGGAACACCGGUGGCGAAGGCGACAUUCUGGACGAAUACUGACGCUGAGGCGCGAAAGCGUGGGGAGCAAACAGGAUUAGAUACCCUGGUAGUCC
Molecule: ribosomal RNA, 806 nt
Filed under: uncultured bacterium
Lineage: Bacteria
Description: bacterial SSU rRNA
Rfam family: Bacterial small subunit ribosomal RNA
Source: RNAcentral